GAGGGUAUAGUUCAGUGGUAGAGUGCAUGCCUAACAUGCACAAGGUCGUGGGUUCAACCCCCAGCACCAUCA
RNAcentral lists this transfer RNA (72 nucleotides) under Camelus bactrianus (Bactrian camel). It matches the Rfam family "tRNA". From Rfam's summary of the family: Transfer RNA (tRNA) molecules are approximately 80 nucleotides in length. RNAcentral also lists the same sequence under 2 other names. Lineage: Eukaryota; Metazoa; Chordata; Mammalia; Artiodactyla; Camelidae. The record is from Rfam by way of RNAcentral.